UUGACGAACGCUGGCGGCGUGCCUAAUACAUGCAAGUAGAACGCUGAAGAGAGGAGCUUGCUCUUCUUGGAUGAGUUGCGAACGGGUGAGUAACGCGUAGGUAACCUGCCUUGUAGCGGGGGAUAACUAUUGGAAACGAUAGCUAAUACCGCAUAACAAUGGAUGACACAUGUCAUUUAUUUGAAAGGGGCAAAUGCUCCACUACAAGAUGGACCUGCGUUGUAUUAGCUAGUAGGUGAGGUAACGGCUCACCUAGGCGACGAUACAUAGCCGACCUGAGAGGGUGAUCGGCCACACUGGGACUGAGACACGGCCCAGACUCCUACGGGAGGCAGCAGUAGGGAAUCUUCGGCAAUGGGGGCAACCCUGACCGAGCAACGCCGCGUGAGUGAAGAAGGUUUUCGGAUCGUAAAGCUCUGUUGUAAGUCAAGAACGAGUGUGAGAGUGGAAAGUUCACACUGUGACGGUAGCUUACCAGAAAGGGACGGCUAACUACGUGCCAGCAGCCGCGGUAAUACGUAGGUCCCGAGCGUUGUCCGGAUUUAUUGGGCGUAAAGCGAGCGCAGGCGGUUUGAUAAGUCUGAAGUUAAAGGCUGUGGCUCAACCAUAGUUCGCUUUGGAAACUGUCAAACUUGAGUGCAGAAGGGGAGAGUGGAAUUCCAUGUGUAGCGGUGAAAUGCGUAGAUAUAUGGAGGAACACCGGUGGCGAAAGCGGCUCUCUGGUCUGUAACUGACGCUGAGGCUCGAAAGCGUGGGGAGCGAACAGGAUUAGAUACCCUGGUAGUCCACGCCGUAAACGAUGAGUGCUAGGUGUUGGAUCCUUUCCGGGAUUCAGUGCCGCAGCUAACGCAUUAAGCACUCCGCCUGGGGAGUACGACCGCAAGGUUGAAACUCAAAGGAAUUGACGGGGGCCCGCACAAGCGGUGGAGCAUGUGGUUUAAUUCGAAGCAACGCGAAGAACCUUACCAGGUCUUGACAUCCCGAUGCUAUUUCUAGAGAUAGAAAGUUACUUCGGUACAUCGGUGACAGGUGGUGCAUGGUUGUCGUCAGCUCGUGUCGUGAGAUGUUGGGUUAAGUCCCGCAACGAGCGCAACCCCUAUUGUUAGUUGCCAUCAUUCAGUUGGGCACUCUAGCGAGACUGCCGGUAAUAAACCGGAGGAAGGUGGGGAUGACGUCAAAUCAUCAUGCCCCUUAUGACCUGGGCUACACACGUGCUACAAUGGUUGGUACAACGAGUUGCGAGUCGGUGACGGCAAGCUAAUCUCUUAAAGCCAAUCUCAGUUCGGAUUGUAGGCUGCAACUCGCCUACAUGAAGUCGGAAUCGCUAGUAAUCGCGGAUCAGCACGCCGCGGUGAAUACGUUCCCGGGCCUUGUACACACCGCCCGUCACACCACGAGAGUUUGUAACACCCGAAGUCGAUGAGGUAACCUUUUGGAGCCAGCCGCCUAAGGUGG
Molecule: ribosomal RNA, 1455 nt
Filed under: uncultured organism
Description: SSU rRNA
Rfam family: Bacterial small subunit ribosomal RNA
Source: RNAcentral